Molecule: ribosomal RNA, 253 nt
Filed under: uncultured bacterium
Lineage: Bacteria
Description: partial 16S ribosomal RNA
Rfam family: Bacterial small subunit ribosomal RNA
Source: RNAcentral
UACAGAGGGUGCGAGCGUUAAUCGGAAUUACUGGGCGUAAAGCGCGCGUAGGCGGCUUUGCAAGUCGAGUGUGAAAUCCCCAGGCUUAACCUGGGAACUGCAUUCGAGACUGCAUAGCUAGAGUAUGGGAGAGGGAAGUGGAAUUUCAGGUGUAGCGGUGAAAUGCGUAGAUAUCUGAAGGAACAUCAGUGGCGAAAGCGACUUCCUGGACCAAUACUGACGCCCAUGUGCGGAAGCGUGGGGAGCAAACAGG